UGGGGAAUUUUGGACAAUGGGCGAAAGCCUGAUCCAGCAAUGCCGCGUGUGUGAAGAAGGCCUUCGGGUUGUAAAGCACUUUUGUCCGGAAAGAAAUCCUUGGCUCUAAUACAGUCGGGGGAUGACGGUACCGGAAGAAUAAGCACCGGCUAACUACGUGCCAGCAGCCGCGGUAAUACGUAGGGUGCAAGCGUUAAUCGGAAUUACUGGGCGUAAAGCGUGCGCAGGCGGUUUGCUAAGACCGAUGUGAAAAUCCCCGGGCUCAACCUGGGAACUGCAUUGGUGACUGGCAGGCUAGAGUAUGGCAGAGGGGGGUAGAAUUCCACGUGUAGCAGUGAAAAUGCGUAGAGAUGUGGAGGAAAUACCGAUGGCGAAGGCAGCCCCCUGGGCCAAUACUGACGCUCAUGCACGAAAAGGCGUGGGGAAGCAAACAGGAUUAGAUACCCUGGUAGUCCCACGCCCUAAACGAUGUCAACUAGUUGUUGGGGAUUCAUUUCCUUAGUAACGUAGCUAACGCGUGAAGUUGA
This 527-nucleotide ribosomal RNA is filed under the name uncultured bacterium. RNAcentral's name for it is "partial 16S ribosomal RNA". It matches the Rfam family "Bacterial small subunit ribosomal RNA", at positions 355 to 868 of the family's 1533-position model. The record is from RNAcentral.